GCAUAGCCGAGUUGAGAGACUGAUCGGCCACAAUGGAACUGAGACACGGUCCAUACUCCUACGGGAGGCAGCAGUAGGGAAUCUUCCACAAUGGGCGCAAGCCUGAUGGAGCAACACCGCGUGAGUGAAGAAGGGUUUCGGCUCGUAAAACUCUGUUGUUGAAGAAGAACGUGCAUGAGAGUAACUGUUCAUGCAGUGACGGUAUUCAACCAGAAAGUCACGGCUAACUACGUGCCAGCAGCCGCGGUAAUACGUAGGUGGCAAGCGUUAUCCGGAUUUAUUGGGCGUAAAGCGAGCGCAGGCGGUUGCUUAGGUCUGAUGUGAAAGCCUUCGGCUUAACCGAAGAAGUGCAUCGGAAACCGGGCGACUUGAGUGCAGAAGAGGACAGUGGAACUCCAUGUGUAGCGGUGGAAUGCGUAGAUAUAUGGAAGAACACCAGUGGCGAAGGCGGCUGUCUGGUCUGCAACUGACGCUGAGGCUCGAAAGCAUGGGUAGCGAACAGGAUUAGAUACCCUGGUAGUCCAUGCCGUAAACGAUGAGUGCUAGGUGUUGGAGGGUUUCCGCCCUUCAGUGCCGCAGCUAACGCAUUAAGCACUCCGCCUGGGGAGUACGACCGCAAGGUUGAAACUCAAAGGAAUUGACGGGGGCCCGCACAAGCGGUGGAGCAUGUGGUUUAAUUCGAAGCUACGCGAAGAACCUUACCAGGUCUUGACAUCUUGCGCUAACCUAAGAGAUUAGGCGUUCCCUUCGGGGACGCAAUGACAGGUGGUGCAUGGUCGUCGUCAGCUCGUGUCGUGAGAUGUUGGGUUAAGUCCCGCAACGAGCGCAACCCUUGUUACUAGUUGCCAGCAUUCAGUUGGGCACUCUAGUGAGACUGCCGGUGACAAACCGGAGGAAGGUGGGGACGACGUCAGAUCAUCAUGCCCCUUAUGACCUGGGCUACACACGUGCUACAAUGGCCGGUACAACGAGCAGCUAACCCGCGAGGGUGUGCAAAUCUCUUAAAGCCGGUCUCAGUUCGGACUGCAGUCUGCAACUCGACUGCACGAAGUCGGAAUCGCUAGUAAUCGCGGAUCAGCAUGCCGCGGUGAAUACGUUCCCGGGCCUUGUACACACCGCCCGUCACACCAUGGAAGUUUGCAAUGCCCAAAGUCAGUGGCCUAACCAUUUUGGAGGGA
This 1178-nucleotide ribosomal RNA is filed under the name Limosilactobacillus panis. RNAcentral describes it as "bacterial SSU rRNA". It matches the Rfam family "Bacterial small subunit ribosomal RNA", at positions 281 to 1451 of the family's 1533-position model. The record is from RNAcentral. Lineage: Bacteria; Bacillati; Bacillota; Bacilli; Lactobacillales; Lactobacillaceae.